CCAAUAGCGUAUAUUAAAGUUGUUGCAGUUAAAAAGCUCGUAGUUGAACUUCAGGCCUGUCCAGAUGGUCCGCCUUAAUUGGUGUGUACUGUCCUUGGGUGGGUCCUACCUUCUGGCGAAGCGGCAUGGCCUUAGUUGGUUGUGUCGGGGAACCAGGACUUUUACUGUGAAAAAAUUAGAGUGUUCAAAGCAGGCAUAUAUGCUCGAAUACAUUAGCAUG
RNAcentral lists this ribosomal RNA (220 nucleotides) under uncultured Paraglomus. RNAcentral's name for it is "partial small subunit ribosomal RNA". It matches the Rfam family "Eukaryotic small subunit ribosomal RNA", at positions 591 to 811 of the family's 1831-position model. The record is from RNAcentral. Lineage: Eukaryota; Fungi; Glomeromycota; Glomeromycetes; Paraglomerales; Paraglomeraceae.